UUAAAGUCUAACCUGCCCACUGAAAUUUUUAAAUGGCCGCAGUAUUCUAACUGUGCAAAGGUAGCAUAAUCAUUAGUCUUUUAAUUGAAGGCUGGAAUGAAUGGUUGGACGAAAUAUUAACUGUUUCAUUUUAAUUUUUUAUAGAAUUUUAUUUUUUAGUCAAAAAGCUAAAAUUUUAUUAAAAGACGAGAAGACCCUAUAAAUCUUUAUAUUUUGUUUAUUUUAAUUUUAAAGAUUAAUUUAAUUUUAAUAAAUUAAAAUAUUUUAUUGGGGUGAUAUUAAAAUUUAAAAAACUUUUAAUUUUUAAAACCAUUAAUUUAUGAAUAAUUGAUCCAUUAAUAAUGAUUAAAAAUUUAAGUUACUUUAGGGAUAACAGCGUAAUUUUUUUGGAGAGUUCAUAUCGAUAAAAAAGAUUGCGACCUCGAUGUUGGAUUAAGAUAUAAUUUUGGGUGUAGCCGUUCAAAUUUAAAGUCUGUUCGACUUUUAAAUUCUUACAUGAUCUGAGUUCAAACCGGCGUAAGCCAGGUUGGUUUCUAUCUUUAAUUAAUUAUAAUAUUUUAGUACGAAAGGACCAAAUAUUAAAAUAAUUAUAUUUUAAAAAAGAAUAUUAUUAAUAAUU
This 619-nucleotide ribosomal RNA is filed under the name Drosophila quinaria. Its description in RNAcentral is "partial 16S ribosomal RNA". It matches the Rfam family "Bacterial large subunit ribosomal RNA", at positions 1895 to 2761 of the family's 2925-position model. Lineage: Eukaryota; Metazoa; Arthropoda; Insecta; Diptera; Drosophilidae. The record is from RNAcentral.